This 468-nucleotide ribosomal RNA is filed under the name uncultured bacterium. RNAcentral describes it as "partial 16S ribosomal RNA". It matches the Rfam family "Bacterial small subunit ribosomal RNA", at positions 28 to 507 of the family's 1533-position model. The record is from RNAcentral.
GACGAACGCUGGCGGCGUGCUUAACACAUGCAAGUCGAACGGAAAGGCCCUGCUUUUGUGGGGUGCUCGAGUGGCGAACGGGUGAGUAACACGUGAGUAACCUGCCCUUGACUUUGGGAUAACUUCAGGAAACUGGGGCUAAUACCGGAUAGGAGCUCCUGCUGCAUGGUGGGGGUUGGAAAGUUUCGGCGGUUGGGGAUGGACUCGCGGCUUAUCAGCUUGUUGGUGGGGUAGUGGCUUACCAAGGCUUUGACGGGUAGCCGGGCUGAGAGGGUGACCGGCCACAUUGGGACUGAGAUACGGCCCAGACUCCUACGGGAGGCAGCAGUGGGGAAUAUUGCACAAUGGGCGGAAGCCUGAUGCAGCAACGCCGCGUGCGGGAUGACGGCCUUCGGGUUGUAAAACGCUUUCGCCUGUGACGAAGCGUGAGUGACGGUAAUGGGUAAAGAAGCACCGGCUAACUACGUG